AGAGGAAGGCUCGUCCGCUCUGGGUUAGUCGGGUCCUAAGCUGAGGCCGACAGGCGUAGGCGAUGGAUAACAGGUUGAUAUUCCUGUACCACCUAUAAUCGUUUUAAUCGAUGGGGGGACGCAGUAGGAUAGGCGAAGCGUGCGAUUGGAUUGCACGUCUAAGCAGUAAGGCUGAGUAUUAGGCAAAUCCGGUACUCAUUAAGGCUGAGCUGUGAUGGGGAGAAGACAUUGUGUCUUCGAGUCGUUGAUUUCACACUGCCGAGAAAAGCCUCUAGAUAGAAAAUAGGUGCCCGUACCGCAAACCGACACAGGUAGUCAAGAUGAGAAUUCUAAGGUGAGCGAGCGAACUCUCGUUAAGGAACUCGGCAAAAUGACCCCGUAACUUCGGGAGAAGGGGUGCUCUUUAGGGUUAACGCCCAGAAGAGCCGCAGUGAAUAGGCCCAAGCGACUGUUUAUCAAAAACACAGGUCUCUGCUAAACCGUAAGGUGAUGUAUAGGGGCUGACGCCUGCCCGGUGCUGGAAGGUUAAGAGGAGUGGUUAGCUUCUGCGAAGCUACGAAUCGAAGCCCCAGUAAACGGCGGCCGUAACUAUAACGGUCCUAAGGUAGCGAAAUUCCUUGUCGGGUAAGUUCCGACCCGCACGAAAGGCGUAACGAUUUGGGCACUGUCUCAACGAGAGACUCGGUGAAAUCAUAGUACCUGUGAAGAUGCAGGUUACCCGCGACAGGACGGAAAGACCCCGUGGAGCUUUACUGUAGCCUGAUAUUGAAAUUCGGCACAGCUUGUACAGGAUAGGUAGGAGCCUUUGAAACGUGAGCGCUAGCUUACGUGGAGGCGCUGGUGGGAUACUACCCUAGCUGUGUUGGCUUUCUAACCCGCACCACUUAUCGUGGUGGGAGACAGUGUCAGGCGGGCAGUUUGACUGGGGCGGUCGCCUCCUAAAAGGUAACGGAGGCGCUCAAAGGUUCCCUCAGAAUGGUUGGAAAUCAUUCAUAGAGUGUAAAGGCAUAAGGGAGCUUGACUGCGAGACCUACAAGUCGAGCAGGGUCGAAAGACGGACUUAGUGAUCCGGUGGUUCCGCAUGGAAGGGCCAUCGCUCAACGGAUAAAAGCUACCCCGGGGAUAACAGGCUUAUCUCCCCCAAGAGUUCACAUCGACGGGGAGGUUUGGCACCUCGAUGUCGGCUCAUCGCAUCCUGGGGCUGUAGUCGGUCCCAAGGGUUGGGCUGUUCGCCCAUUAAAGCGGUACGCGAGCUGGGUUCAGAACGUCGUGAGACAGUUCGGUCCCUAUCCGUCGUGGGCGUAGGAAAUUUGAGAGGAGCUGUCCUUAGUACGAGAGGACCGGGAUGGACAUACCUCUGGUGUACCAGUUGUCGUGCCAACGGCAUAGCUGGGUAGCUAUGUGUGGACGGGAUAAGUGCUGAAAGCAUCUAAGCAUGAAGCCCCCCUCAAGAUGAGAUUUCCCAACUUCGGUUAUAAGAUCCCUCAAAGAUGAUGAGGUUAAUAGGUUCGAGGUGGAAGCAUGGUGACAUGUGGAGCUGACGAAUACUAAUCGAUCGAAGACUUAAUCAA
This 1571-nucleotide ribosomal RNA is filed under the name Staphylococcus aureus 2393-15. RNAcentral describes it as "bacterial LSU rRNA". It matches the Rfam family "Bacterial large subunit ribosomal RNA", at positions 1356 to 2925 of the family's 2925-position model. Lineage: Bacteria; Bacillati; Bacillota; Bacilli; Caryophanales; Staphylococcaceae. The record is from RNAcentral. RNAcentral also lists the same sequence under 1 other name.